Molecule: non-coding RNA, 74 nt
Organism: Heligmosomoides polygyrus
Lineage: Eukaryota; Metazoa; Nematoda; Chromadorea; Rhabditida; Heligmosomidae
Source: Rfam
GCGCCGGUGGUGUAAGGCGUAGAGCAUUCCCGCCCGGUCAGAGGGAGGUGCGGGUUCGAGUCCCGCCUGGCGCU